Molecule: transfer RNA, 72 nt
Filed under: Bos taurus (domestic cattle)
Lineage: Eukaryota; Metazoa; Chordata; Mammalia; Artiodactyla; Bovidae
Also listed under: 5 other names
Rfam family: tRNA
About the family: Transfer RNA (tRNA) molecules are approximately 80 nucleotides in length. Their secondary structure includes four short double-helical elements and three loops (D, anti-codon, and T loops). Further hydrogen bonds mediate the characteristic L-shaped molecular structure. tRNAs have two regions of fundamental functional importance: the anti-codon, which is responsible for specific mRNA codon recognition, and the 3' end, to which the tRNAs corresponding amino acid is attached (by aminoacyl-tRNA synthetases). tRNAs cope with the degeneracy of the genetic code in two manners: having more than one tRNA (with a specific anti-codon) for a particular amino acid; and 'wobble' base-pairing, i.e. permitting non-standard base-pairing at the 3rd anti-codon position.
Source: Rfam by way of RNAcentral
UCCCUACUGGCUCAGAUGGUAAAGCAUCUGCCUACAAUGUGGGAGACCCAGGUUCAAUCCCUGGGUUGGGAA